RNAcentral lists this long non-coding RNA (690 nucleotides) under Pan troglodytes (chimpanzee). RNAcentral's name for it is "lincRNA". The record is from RNAcentral. Lineage: Eukaryota; Metazoa; Chordata; Mammalia; Primates; Hominidae.
GGCCACAUCUGCCAGAGCCUGGAGUCUGCGAAGGCCGGGACCCGGUUCCCCGGCCCACCGUGGGGGGGGGUGUGCAAACCCGAGAGAACUGGGUUGCAAAUUCGUGAAGAAUCAGCAUCAUGUUUGGCAGCUGAGUAUUGGAGCCAGGAGCCUGCCAUGAGCCGAUGCAGCCUCAGUGUUCCUUUGCCUUGGGGGUUUCUGAGUGGGGGGGUUGUAAGCAGAUCCUGCCAGGCACCCAGAAGGAAACCUCAUCAGGACUCCCUCAGAAAGCAGGCCCUGAAGAAUCCUGUGACCUUCCUCUAAAGUAGGUCGUGAGACCCCUGAGCUUAAAACGGAGUGAUCGGCUUUGGAGAAGUAAGGAGACAUGACGUGCCUGCCCUGGGGUGGGGACUAAACUUCGUGCCACUCCAUGUGAAAGGGGGAGAAAUCCCUGGAAGGCACGCAGGCUGGACAUCAUCAUAUAUUCUCUACAGAUGGAGACACCAAAGCCCACGCCUUCUGUGCUGUUGGAAUUUCAGGAAGGAUGGGGGUGGGGCACGGCCUCAGCCCUGGGCAUGUUCUGCAGAUUGCACUGCUCUUAUCUGCCAGGGGGUGGUGAGAGGGUGGCUGAGCUGGACAGAUGGCGGGCAGGGACGGGCUCUGCGGUCUGGCAGCUGACAUUGAUACAAGCAAAUAAAGUCCUUGCUGGGG